AUUGAACGCUGGCGGCACGCUUUACACAUGCAAGUCGAACGGUAACAGGCCUUCGGGUGCUGACGAGUGGCGAACGGGUGAGUAAUGCAUCGGAACGUGCCCAGAGGUGGGGGAUAACGCAGCGAAAGCUGUGCUAAUACCGCAUGUGAUCUGAGGAUGAAAGCGGGGGACCAAGCAGCAAUGUUUGGCCUCGCGCCUCUGGAGCGGCCGAUGUCAGAUUAGGUAGUUGGUGGGGUAAAGGCCUACCAAGCCGACGAUCUGUAGCUGGUCUGAGAGGACGACCAGCCACACUGGGACUGAGACACGGCCCAGACUCCUACGGGAGGCAGCAGUGGGGAAUUUUGGACAAUGGGCGCAAGCCUGAUCCAGCAAUGCCGCGUGCGGGAAGAAGGCCUUCGGGUUGUAAACCGCUUUUGUACGGAACGAAAAGGCUCUGGCUAAUACCUGGGGCUGAUGACGGUACCGUAAGAAUAAGCACCGGCUAACUACGUG
Molecule: ribosomal RNA, 492 nt
Filed under: uncultured bacterium
Lineage: Bacteria
Description: partial 16S ribosomal RNA
Rfam family: Bacterial small subunit ribosomal RNA
Source: RNAcentral